Molecule: ribosomal RNA, 424 nt
Filed under: uncultured bacterium
Lineage: Bacteria
Description: partial 16S ribosomal RNA
Rfam family: Bacterial small subunit ribosomal RNA
Source: RNAcentral
AAUUUUGGACAAUGGGGGAAACCCUGAUCCAGCCAUCCCGCGUGUAUGAUGAAGGCCUCCGGGUUGUAAAGUACUUUUGGCAGAGAAGAAAAGGUAUCCCGGAUUACGGGAUACUGCUGACGGUAUCGGAAGACAAAGCACCGGCUAACGACGUGCCAGCAGCCCAGGUAAUACGUAGGGGGCACGCGUUAAUCGGAAUUACUGGGCGUAAAGCGUGUGUAGGCGGUUCGGAAAGAAAGAUGUGAAAUCCCAGGGCUCAACCUUGGAACUGCAUUUUUAACUGCCGAGCUAGAGUAUGUCAGAGGGGGGUAGAAUUCCACGUGUAGCAGUGAAAUGCGUAGAUAUGUGGAGGAAUACCGAUGGCGAAGGCAGCCCCCUGGGAUAAUACUGACGCUCAGACACGAAAGCGUGGGGAGCAAACAGG